This 328-nucleotide unclassified non-coding RNA is filed under the name soil metagenome. Its description in RNAcentral is "partial contains 5.8S ribosomal RNA, internal transcribed spacer 2, and large subunit ribosomal RNA". The stretch from base 1 to 120 matches the Rfam family "5.8S ribosomal RNA", at positions 35 to 154 of the family's 154-position model. The record is from RNAcentral.
GAUGAAGAACGCAGCGAAAUGCGAUAAGUAAUGUGAAUUGCAGAAUUCAGUGAAUCAUCGAAUCUUUGAACGCACAUUGCGCCCCCUGGUAUUCCGGGGGGCAUGCCUGUCCGAGCGUCAUUACAACCCUCAAGCCCAGCUUGGUGUUGGGCCCCGCCGCCCCGGCGGGCCCUAAAGUCAGUGGCGGUGCCGUCCGGCUCCGAGCGUAGUAAUUCUUCUCGCUCUGGAGGUCCGGUCGUGUGCUCGCCAGCAACCCCCAAUUUUUUUCAGGUUACCUCGGAUCAGGUAGGGAUACCCGCUGAACUUAAGCAUAUCAAUAAGCGGAGGA